RNAcentral lists this ribosomal RNA (1247 nucleotides) under 'Phyllanthus niruri' phytoplasma. Its description in RNAcentral is "bacterial SSU rRNA". It matches the Rfam family "Bacterial small subunit ribosomal RNA", at positions 167 to 1412 of the family's 1533-position model. The record is from RNAcentral. Lineage: Bacteria; Bacillati; Mycoplasmatota; Mollicutes; Acholeplasmatales; Acholeplasmataceae.
GACUGGAUAGGAAGAUAAAAGGCAUCUUUUAUCUUUUAAAAGACCUAGUAAUAGGUAUGCUUUAGGAGGGGCUUGCGCCAUAUUAGUUAGUUGGUAGGGUAAUGGCCUACCAAGACGAUGAUGUGUAGCUGGACUGAGAGGUUGAACAGCCACAUUGGGACUGAGACACGGCCCAAACUCCUACGGGAGGCAGCAGUAGGGAAUUUUCGGCAAUGGAGGAAACUCUGACCGAGCAACGCCGCGUGAAUGACGAAGUACUUCGGUAUGUAAAGUUCUUUUAUCAAGGAAGAAAAGCAAAUGGCGAACCAUUUGUUUGCCGGUACUUGAUGAAUAAGCCCCGGCUAAUUAUGUGCCAGCAGCCGCGGUAAGACAUAAGGGGCAAGUGUUAUCCGGAAUUAUUGGGCGUAAAGGGUGCGUAGGCGGUCUAGUAAGUCAGUGGUGUAAUGGCAACGCUUAACGUUGUCCGGCUAUUGAAACUGCUAAACUUGAGUUAGAUAGAGGCGAGUGGAAUUCCAUGUGUAGCGGUAAAAUGCGUAAAUAUAUGGAGGAACACCAGAGGCGUAGGCGGCUCGCUGGGUCUUAACUGACGCUGAGGCACGAAAGCGUGGGGAGCAAACAGGAUUAGAUACCCUGGUAGUCCACGCCGUAAACGAUGAGUACUAAGUGUCGGGUUAAACCGGUACUGAAGUUAACACAUUAAGUACUCCGCCUGAGUAGUACGUACGCAAGUAUGAAACCUUAAAGGAAUUGACGGGACUCCGCACAAGCGGUGGAUCAUGUUGUUUAAUUCGAAGAUACCCGAAAAACCUUACCAGGUCUUGACAUGUUUUUGCAAAAUGAUAGUAAUAUCGUGGAGGUUACCAGAAACACAGGUGGUGCAUGGUUGUCGUCAGCUCGUGUCGUGAGAUGUUAGGUUAAGUCCUAAAACGAGCGAAACCCUUAUCGUUAGUUGCCAGCACGUUAUGGUGGGGACUUUAACGAGACUGCCAAUGAUAAAUUGGAGGAAGGUGAGGAUCACGUCAAAUCAGCAUGCCCCUUAUGACCUGGGCUACAAACGUGAUACAAUGGCUGUUACAAAGGGUAGCUGAAACGCAAGUUCUUGGCCAAUCCCCAAAAACAGUCCCAGUCCGGAUUGAAGUCUGCAACUCGACUUCAUGAAGUUGGAAUCGCUAGUAAUCGCGAAUCAGCAUGUCGCGGUGAAUACGUUCUCGGGGUUUGUACACACCGCCCGUCAAACCACGAAAGUU